This is a long non-coding RNA of Meriones unguiculatus (Mongolian gerbil), 2488 nucleotides long. RefSeq lists it as uncharacterized. Lineage: Eukaryota; Metazoa; Chordata; Mammalia; Rodentia; Muridae. The record is from RefSeq and is a predicted model, not a curated record. The transcript is spliced from 5 exons.
GGAAGCUGUGGUGGAGGCUGGAGCAAAGAACUCUUCCUUCCAAGCCGUUUCCUUCCACACGAACAAGGGAAGAACCAGAGCCAGAGGCCGGAAGGCUCACAUUUGAAAGAGAAGCUCCCAGGCUCACGAGGGCAGCUAUGACCCUACCCGCCUGAAACCAGGUUUUGGCUGGACUACACAGUAAAUUCUGGCAAUGAUGAGCUUCAUCUGGCUCAUAGACACUCCUAUCUCUGCCCAAGCUGUGCUGAGCCUGCCAGACAGUGGGAAAGCCCCUGAUGACCACGUGGAAGGGUGAUGAGGAGGACUACCAAAGCAUCAGGCAGGCAGAGGAAGACUCCCUAGACCUUCUAACCCAAUUCACCUGCCAAACACACAAUAACAAUCGUCGUGCCAGCCAACACGUGACGAGUGGCCUACAGGGUCAUUGAGACUUGAUAGACUGCACAGCAGCAUGCACCUGAAAUACCUAAGUUCUAGAUAGGGGAUGGAAAUCAUACAGUGGACAGAUGACUAAGGCAGACCAAGGGCCAAGCCAGUAUUUAACUCCAACCACAAGGCUGUGGAACAAAAAUUUGGCAUUUGUAGUGGCCGAAAGAUAAAAGACAAACUGAACAACUGCACUAAAAGCCUCCGGAUGGCCUACCCGACCUCCUCCUGGCUCCUUUCAUCUUUGCCAGCUAUGAGAAGAGGAGACCUGAAGGCCAGCAGCAUCGGCUGCUCCAGGCUACUGUCUGGAGCCACAAACACCAGUCUAUUGACCUAUUGGGUUGCAAAGCUUGAUUAGGAGGCCCAAUGUAAUCCGAGUUGGCUGGGGACAAAGGAGUAUGAAGCACCCCCUGGGUGGCCUGGCCUACCAGGGAGGCUCUUGGUGGCCCAAGUUUACAAACCCAGCUCCAGCCUUCUCAGCUUUGUUUCCAGAGACCUCAAGUGCAAAGCGAAACUGAUGCUAUCACCCUACAUGGGCAUUCUGAGGCGUGUAAUGGCAUAUGGCCCUAGUGGGGACUCUGGAAGUGGUAGGUGUAGCCUCAAAGUCUGCGUCAGUGAGACCUCAAGUCUGUGUCAGUGAGACCUCUCCUGAACCCACCAGGUGUGGGUUGUAGGAGCAGGUGGCCUUUCUAACGUAGGAAGCAGCAUCAUGUGGAAGGCAGGACAGCGGGUUCUCCACUCUGCGGCAGGUGAUCCGUUUGGCAGAGGCCUGGCAGGCCCAGAUGGUAAGAAGCCUGGAAGUCAGGGCUAAGUUUGGACUUGGAUGGAAAGGUGAGUAUUCAGGAGGCCUCCACAGAAGGCUGACCUACCGUUGGCAAUUAAAAAAAAAGAAAGUAGAACAUACACACACACACACACACACACACACACACACACAACUUAACCCCAUCGUGCUAGGGAAAGGGUGGCCUUAAUUCUAGAGCCCUGAGAGCCAGGUGAAUGUGACUGGGCUCUAGGCUUGGGCAGGUUAAUCCCCACUUCCUGUUCUCUAAGACUCCUCCCUUCUUGGCCCUGCUACCUCACAAGGGUGGUUUCCACAGAAGCCCCUGGGGCAUCCAACGUGGCCUGCUUCUGCAGGCGGAGGAGCCUGGUGUCACCCGCCCUUGGACCAGGUGGAGCUGCACCUUGGCCAGGAACCUGCACAGGAGGAGCAGCUGGCCACCCUGCUCAGGGUCCUGCCUGGGCCUGCGAGAUCUGCAGCACGAGACUCCUCCCUCUCCUGUGACACCGGCUGCAACAUGGAUGGACCUGCAGAUGGUACACUGAGUGAAGUCAGCCAGUUACAGAGGACAUGCCCCGAUAGCUCUGCUCAUCCAAGAUGUCUACCGCCAUCAGUGUCAUAGAGAGGGGGGAAGGUGUUUGUCAGGGGCUGGGGAGGAAAGCUGGGAUGUCUGUGCUCAACUAGGCAGAGUUUCAGUUUUGCGAGAUGGAAAGACUUCUGUGGUUGGAUGCUGCUCUGGCUAGUCUGAUGUCACCUUGAUACAAGUGAUAGUCGUCUGAGUCAGCUGAGAAAAAGCCUCCAUAAGAGCUGAUGGUAGGCAAGCCUGGAGGGCAUUUUCUUAACUAGUGAUUGAUGGAGGAGGUACAGCCAUUGUAGGUGGUACCACCCCUGGGCUGGUGGCUCUGGGUUCUAUGUUGGUAUAAUGUUCUUUUGGAAUGUAUACGCCUUGCCCUUGUUCAUUCAAAUGCUGAUUUCUCUCCCCCACUAUCUGGUUUCAAUCCAGACACCACAUUGUGAUACUUAUUCUAAGCAUCACCUGUGAAAAAGCAGGCUGCGCAAGCCACGAGGAGCUAGCCAUAAGUAGCACCCCUCUGCAUCAGGCUUCUGCCUCCAGGUCCCUGCCCUGGUUGAGUUUCUGUCCUGGCUUCCCCGGAGGAUGAACGGUGCUGUGAAAGUGUUACUUGCUUUGGUCAGUCACCGUAUUUCAUCAUAGCAGGAGUAAUCCUGACUAGGACAGACGUGAUAGUCACACAGCACCGUUAAGUGUUCUUGACACCUCUG